CAGCCGCCGCGGUAAUACCGGCGGCCCGAGUGGCGGUCACUAUUAUUGGGCUUAAAGCGUCCGUAGCCGGGUUGGGAAGUCCUCCGGGAAAUCUGGCCGCUUAACGGUCAGAAUGCCGGAGGAUACUCCCAGCCUAGGGAGCGGGGGAGGCCGAGGGUAUUCCCGGGGUAGGGGUGAAAUCCUAUAAUCCCGGGAGGACCACCUGUGGCGAAGGCGCUCGGCUGGAACGCGUCCGACGGUGAGGGACGAAGGCCAGGGGAGCAAACCGGAUUAGAUACCCGGGUAGUCCUGGCUGUAAACGAUGCGGACUUUGUGUCGGACAAGCUAUGAGCUUGUCCGGUGCCGGAGGGAAACCGUUAAGUCCGCCGCCUGGGGAGUACGGCCGCAAGGCUGAAACUUAAAGGAAUUGGCGGG
Molecule: ribosomal RNA, 414 nt
Filed under: uncultured microorganism
Description: bacterial SSU rRNA
Rfam family: Archaeal small subunit ribosomal RNA
Source: RNAcentral